RNAcentral lists this ribosomal RNA (428 nucleotides) under Bacteroidota bacterium. Its description in RNAcentral is "Bacteroidetes bacterium partial 16S ribosomal RNA". It matches the Rfam family "Bacterial small subunit ribosomal RNA", at positions 355 to 776 of the family's 1533-position model. The record is from RNAcentral. Lineage: Bacteria; Pseudomonadati; Bacteroidota.
UAGGGAAUCUUCCGCAAUGGACGCAAGUCUGACGGAGCAACGCCGCGUGAGUGAAGAAGGAUUUCGGUUCGUAAAACUCUGUUGUUAGAGAAGAACAGCGCAUAGAGUAACUGUUAUGCGUGUGACGGUAUCUAACCAGAAAGCCACGGCUAACUACGUGCCAGCAGCCGCGGUAAUACGUAGGUCCCGAGCGUUGUCCGGAUUUAUUGGGCGUAAAGCGAGCGCAGGCGGUUAGAUAAGUCUGAAGUUAAAGGCAGUGGCUCAACCAUUGUAGGCUUUGGGAACUGUUUGACUUGAGUGCAGAGGGGGAGAGUGGAAUUCCAUGUGUAGCGGUGAAAUGCGUAGAUAUAUGGAGGAACACCGGUGGCGAAAGCGGCUCUCUGGUCUAUAACUGACGCUGAGGCUCGAAAGCGUGGGGAGCGAACAGG